RNAcentral lists this ribosomal RNA (611 nucleotides) under uncultured bacterium. RNAcentral describes it as "bacterial SSU rRNA". The stretch from base 1 to 519 matches the Rfam family "Bacterial small subunit ribosomal RNA", at positions 338 to 873 of the family's 1533-position model. The record is from RNAcentral.
CCUACGGGAGGCAGCAGUGGGGAAUAUUGGACAAUGGGCGAAAGCCUGAUCCAGCAAUGCCGCGUGAGUGAUGAAGGCCUUAGGGUCGUAAAGCUCUUUUACCAGGGAUGAUAAUGACAGUACCUGGAGAAUAAGCUCCGGCUAACUCCGUGCCAGCAGCCGCGGUAAUACGGAGGGAGCUAGCGUUGUUCGGAAUUACUGGGCGUAAAGCGUGCGUAGGCGGUUAUUCAAGUCAGAGGUGAAAGCCCGGGGCUCAACCCCGGAACGGCCUUUGAAACUAGAUAACUAGAAUCUUGGAGAGGUCAGUGGAAUUCCGAGUGUAGAGGUGAAAUUCGUAGAUAUUCGGAAGAACACCAGUGGCGAAGGCGACUGACUGGACAAGUAUUGACGCUGAGGUACGAAAGCGUGGGGAGCAAACAGGAUUAGAUACCCUGGUAGUCCACGCCGUAAACGAUGAUAACUAGCUGUCCGGACACUUGGUGUUUGGGUGGCGCNGCUACGACAUUAAGUUAUACCGUCCGUCGGGAGGUACGGUCGCGAGAAGUAAACUAACAAAUAGAAGUUAGUAACGGUCGUGUUAGACGUGCCGAGGACGACGACGAGGGAGGAGG